UUGGAGAGACAGUAAACAGACCCCAAAGGUUCACUGUUACAAACAAAAAUAGUGGAAAAACCGAUGAGGCUGAGCCGAGAAACUGCCAACACACCUCAAACGUGAGACCAAAAAAAAACUGGAUGGGGUCCCAACCAAUGUAGUCAGGUUCGCGCACCGGGUCGUAGGAUCGUACGAUCCUACGUGCUCAUGAAGGCUAAACGAGCUAAGAACCCAUGGAGGUUCGUUUUUGGGGCUUUUUGAAGUCAGGUUCGCGCAUUUUUGUGGUGGUGCGUAAAGCAGAUACCAGGUUCGUAAAAAAAAAACGAUUUGGGUUUAAAAUUGGUUGGGCCUUGCAGUCAAACCGGGUCGGGUCAAGACACAGAGUACAAAACACGCUUCUUUUUUCUCAGAAACCCUAAGAAAAAUACGCAGAGAAGAAAGAAAGGCCGUCAUGUGUAUUCUCAAUUCUUCAAUCGUGAUUCAGCCUUGCUUCCUUCAUAACAUCUCGUUCCUUUCCUUUUGUUUCCUUUUGUUUCCUUUU
This 523-nucleotide long non-coding RNA is filed under the name Trifolium pratense (red clover). RNAcentral describes it as "long non-coding RNA (TPRA_LNC008970)". The record is from RNAcentral. Lineage: Eukaryota; Viridiplantae; Streptophyta; Magnoliopsida; Fabales; Fabaceae.